RNAcentral lists this transfer RNA (72 nucleotides) under Ovis aries (sheep). It matches the Rfam family "tRNA". Rfam says of the family: Transfer RNA (tRNA) molecules are approximately 80 nucleotides in length. The record is from Rfam by way of RNAcentral. Lineage: Eukaryota; Metazoa; Chordata; Mammalia; Artiodactyla; Bovidae.
UCCCUCAUGGCUCAGUUGGUAAAGAACCUGCUAGCAAUGCAGGAGACCCGGGUUCGAUUCCUGGUCAGGAAG